CAACAGCACUUUGACUGGAAAAAACCUAUGACCGUAGUCCCUAAUUCUGCCAUGUGGUGCACACACACACUGUUGCUGCAGAGCUAGGGUAUUAGGUCACAUUUAAAUGAUUAUUUUUCUGUUCCAGAAACAAUCAAGACUGAAGUUAAAUCAUUUUGAUCCAACUGAAAUUCAUUCCUAUUCAAGAUUCAAUUCCUGGGAGAAUUUUGACAUUUGAAAGGCAUGUUUCUCCUAAUUUCCGUUCUCGGUAAGGUGCUAUUUUUAAAUUAUAAAUGAUCCUCUGAAACAUUUAGCUCGAGAUGUUGAGGACAGCACCCUGAUUAGUUAACACAACUGCUUCACAACGGGCUUUGCUUUCCAUUCUAACUGAUUAAUUAUGAUGACUUUGCAGAUUAACAUAAUUAAUGGCACCGGAGCAGAGGGAGGUGUCAACUAUUCUGACCCCCUCCAGCUCUCGGGGAGGGGUUUGGCAGGCACUGCCGCUUUCCGGCACUGCUAGAGAGUCAGCAGGGGCUCGCACCACCCGAGACUUGGUCUGAAUUUAGACUGAGCAGUUGCGCCCUGUUUGGGAAGCGUCCAGGUGGCCUGAAUACUUGCGUGUCCUUCGUGUCCUGGUUCUGCCCUCUGUGCGUCUCUAGGCAGGCACAAGGAGUUGGGGCUUUGCACAAAACUUGGAGUACGAAAGGCGGCAGGAAGCCCUUCAAAGACCUACCUGCAAUGUGUGGAGAGAAGAGGAGUGUUUGUAAGGAACAGGGACUGCGUUGCCACUCAGAUGGAAAGAAUAACAUGACAGCUUGACAGGCUACGCAUAUGUUACAGGUUGUACCAAUAUAAAAGCAGCAAGAUAGCACACAAAAGAGAUCACGGAAAAUGCAGCCUGGACCAAAGAUGACAGGCUGGGAGAUCGUUUUCUGCAGCACUGGCUGAUGUCAGGAAAAGCCCCAGGUGUGGCAAUAUUUCACUGACAGUCUUCUGCCUAGGAGUUUGCACUAUAGAAAUCUCUUGCGUCUUCCCCGCUUCAGACAGGUCCCUGAGCCUGCUGCAGUGUCACUGCAAAGCCUGCUGAAGUUACGAGCAUGCUUGAAGAGACACGUGCUGUGUGUCCCCUGUUACAUGAACGCUGUGCCUGUGCUAUUUGGGCACAUCACCGUGCUUUUCAUUUCCGAGCUGUUGUCACAGAGAGAGGAGGAUUUAGGUAGCAAUGUCCUGUCCCCCACAAAAAGAGGGGAUUUUUAACCCAGGCGUGGGUUUAAAAACUACCCACAGAUUGCUCGCAGGUUUGUGCCCUGUCCCCCUACUGCAAUACCUGCAGCUCUCCCCACCAUAAUGCCGGCUCUCCUGAGGCCGUCGCCAGCCCCCUCCUCAUCUCCCCUAGCUGUGAGCCACAGCACGGUUUCGUACACCUUGCUUCCAUAGGAAUCCAGAGCAAAAAUGUGUUUGGCCUCUAAGCCGAAAAGAUUAG
RNAcentral lists this long non-coding RNA (1462 nucleotides) under Struthio camelus australis. RNAcentral's name for it is "lncRNA (ENSSCUG00000003118.1)". The record is from RNAcentral. Lineage: Eukaryota; Metazoa; Chordata; Aves; Struthioniformes; Struthionidae.